Molecule: long non-coding RNA, 11104 nt
Organism: Lycium barbarum (goji berry)
Lineage: Eukaryota; Viridiplantae; Streptophyta; Magnoliopsida; Solanales; Solanaceae
Exons: 6
Source: RefSeq, a predicted model, not a curated record
UAUCUUUGUCAGGAAAUUUGAUAUGUAAAGCAAUCAUUCUCUAGUAAUCAGAAAGUAAUCUUCACUCUGCUAAUUAGAGAGUUGGAAAAAAAAAUACUAUUGUUUAUGUUAUCUAUGAACAAAGGAGUCAUUUGGUUCACAAACUAGUUAUUGAGUACAAUAGCACAGGGAUUGUUAUGCGGGGAAUCAUAGUGUAGUGAUUUCCACACGGUGAAUAAUAAUCUAUGGACUGUUAUACAAUAAAUAAUAAUAAUAUAAGGUUUUUUAUGCAAUGAUUAUCUACUUUAACAACAUUUUUAUCUGUAGAUACUUUUUAUCCAGGUAUUGCUAAUACAGCACUCCCCAUUCUACAUUCUGUCCUCCAUGAAAUUAUCUAUAGAUUCCUGCAUAAAAUUUUCCGUAUUUGUAUUUUUCUGAUAACCAAAUUUUCCGUAUUUGUAUUUAAUACUGCAAAUUGAAUCCUGCAUUAGUUAUGUUGAGUUUGUACUUUGUACCGGAAACCUAUGUUACUCGGACUCGGGUGCGGGUGUCGGAUACGGGUAUGGAUCUAGAGGUCGGACUCGGCAUGAUCUAAAUUUUAAGAUUCGUGGGUACGGAUCCGGGUACGGAUACGGGUGCGGGGAUUCGGCAAAAAUAAUUCAAAAUUCUAAUAAUAUAGCUACAAGAAUAUGCCUAGAUUAUGAGAGCUUUUUGUGGAAGCACCUACAUGUAGUUUGUACCACACAUGUGAUUCAAUCUUCCAUUCUACUAGGUGCUAGACUGCGUGCUCCGAGAAACUAGUUAAAUUUUCUACAUAAUAUUGAAGGUAUGCCAUCUCAUGUCUUCAAAUCUCUACUUUUUGUUAUCUUGAGAAAUCAUAAUCUCAAAAAUUUUCUUUAAUUUGGUCAUGAAUUUCGGUCAAAGUAUCCGAUCUCUAUUGACCGGAUCCGACACGAAUUCCGUACCCAAACCUUGUCGUGUCGUGUCGGACACGGGUACGGCGGCAAAAGUGAAGAGUCCGAGCAACAUAGCCGGAAACUAAACAUUAUAUUAGUUAUGCAAAGAUUAUAUUAGUAAUACAGAGUUAUGUGUUACGUGAAAUCGAGAUUAUUGUUUCUUUUGUGGCCAACCAAACGACCGCGAUGUGAUAUAACUGGUCAAUACCAAAUAUCUUGCUUUCUUUGAUGCCUCACAUGUCGUUGAUAAUUGGUACACCAUAAAGACACUUAUUGAAAGCAAAUGACGUUUCGAUCUUGUUACCUAGAAAAAACAGGUGGGAUGAAAUAACAAGCGCAUCAAUGCAUAGCUUGACACUUUGACAUUAUUACAAUACCAACUUAGUGAAACAUAAAAAAACAACUUAACAACAGCAACUUAGUAAUUGAGGCUAUUAACUGGCAAACAAGGUGGUGACAGUUUUUCACUUGCGUAUCACUUUUUUUUUCCUUCAAAUACUUAUUUUGUAUGGUCAUUGUAGGCGUGUAAAUUUUAAUAAAUUCAAAUCCGUGAAAUAAUUUGGAUUAUAUUAAAUUCAAGAUAUAUUGGUCCAAAUAAAUGAGUGGCUAAUAUAAUUGAAUUAAUAAGUCCAACAAAUAUGGAUUUAAUUUUAAAAAGGUCCAAAUGCAUUGGGCUAGCCUAUUUUAAUUGGGCUACAAAUGAUGAGCCCACUUUGUUAAGCUCAAAAUGUCAUCUUAUCCAGGGAGGCUCAAAUUGGUGCCACGUGUCAAAUGAUGUGGCACGCCAAGUCAAACGAAGGAGCAAAUAGGAUCAUGCCACGUGUCAAAAUGAUGCAGCAUGCCUAGUGUACAAGUGACAUGUUCCGGCCAAUCAAAUGUGGCCAUGUCACUUCAUUCUGAUUGAUCAGAAAGGGUUUGUCCUUAUCACAAUUCUUCCAUCCUACAACUAUAAAUAGGGGUCUCAUAAUUCAGAGGAGGGACCAGAAUUCAGAACAAGAAGCUAGAGGGAGCUCGUGGAUCAAAUGCUACAAGUUUUCUACAAGCUGCAAGCAUUCAAGCACUCCUCUACAAGUUUCAAUUACCCAAAGAUCAAGAACGAAGGCAAAUCAAAUCUCAAGGCGCUCAAGAUCAAAGUCAACGAAGGCAAAUUAAAUACCAAGUUAUUCAAGAUCAAAUGCACUUGUUUGUCUGAGAAUUAUUGUUCGUGGCGGUCAUCAAAGUGUUCGUGACGAAUCAAUUCAAGUCAAAAUCAAAUUCAUAUUCAGGGUCAAGCUUCAGGCCCUUGAAUUCAAAUACAAGUUCAAGAUCAAGACUACCAAAUCAGUGUUGUGAAAGGCGCUCGCCUUGUGCCUUUUGGCGUGAGGCGAGGCGAGCCUUUCUCGCCAUAGACAGCCAAGGCGUGGCAAUUUUCAAAAGGCGAGACAAGGCGAGAAUGGCGAAUGCAGCUGCUGCUUCUCCUUUGGUCAAAAAUAUUCCAUCAUUAAAGUUUCUUCGUCUUCUUCCAUCAGCAGUAGUUUCAGCCACUUUCAGAUUCAAAUCAUGUCAAUAUCCCAUUCUGACAGCAAAGACAUAGUUUGGAAUUUUGGUAGAAAAGGUCCAACUCAGCAUGAAGUUAUAUGUAAUUUUUGUGACAAAAGUAGCAAGGGUGGAAUAACCCGGCACAAACAACAUUUACUUGGUAUUGGAACAAAUUCUAAAGCUUGUAAAAGAUGUCCGGAAUCGGUUAAGGUGGAAAUAAGAGCUUAUAUGGAACAAAAGAAUGCGGUAAAAACUCAAAUGCAGUUCGAUACAUGUGUGGCUGAUCAUACGGAUGAUAGUGAUGAUGAUAUGGAUGAAGUUGGUGAAAUGAGGCCUCCUCCCUCCAAAACUCAAAAAAGGAAAGGUCCUAUGAAUCUUUAUUAUCCACAGAAGCCAAAGGAAGGGGCAGGUGACAAUUUGAGUACAGAAAGAACCCAGAAGCUUUUAAGGGAUCGUGCUGUAGGUGCUUUUGCAAGAUGGGUCUACGAUGCAGGGCUCCCUUUUAAUUGUGUCAAUGCCAAAAGUUUUAAAAAAGUCAUUGACUACAUAGGAGAAUAUGACCCUAAUAUGAAGCCUCCAACCUAUCACAAAGUUAGAGUUAUCUAAAAAAAGAGGUGGAGAAGGUGGACGACAUUGUUGAGGAACAUAAAGUGCAAUGGAGCAAGUUUGGAUGUUCUAUUAUGAUGGAUAAGUGGACCGCACGGAAUGGAAAAAUGGUCAUCAAUAUUUUUUGGUAAACUCUCGAAAAGGUAGUUUGUUUCUUGGAUCAUAUGAUGCUAGCCACUCUUCUACGGAUUCCACUAAAAUGUAUAACUUGUUUGAGAGGACUAUUGAGUCAAUUGGAAAGGAUAAUGUUAUACAAGUGCUUACCGAUAAUGCUAGUGAGAAUGUAAAAGCAAGUCACAUGAUGCAGGGCACAUUCCCACAUAUUUAUUGGACUCCAUGUGCUGCCCAUUGUAUCAAUUUGAUAUUUGGUGACAUUUUCAAGAUCAAUCCAUAUGCUUCAGUUUUUAGCAAGGCCACUAAAAUCUAUGCUUACAUCAGUCAAAGGCCAUUGCUAUUAAACUUGAUGAGGAAGUUUACAAAUGAAAGAAAUUUGGUGAGACCGGGCAAGACUAGAUUUGCAACAGCUUUCUUGACUUUGCAUAGUUUUACAUGCAAAAGAAAAACUUAAGAAACUUAGUCACUUCAAAUGAACAUGCAAAGGAAAUUGCGGGGAAAGAGGUUGCGAGGAAUCUUAUUUCUCUAUCAUUUUGGAAUGAUGUUUGUAAGGCACUUAAAGUUGGUAGUCCUUUGAUUAUCGUACUUCGUUUGGUGGAUGGGGAGAAAAAACCACCAAUGGGCUAUCUUUAUGAAGCUAUGGAUCUUUGCAAAGAAUCUAUUGCAAAGGCAUUUGGGGGUGAUGAGAGGAAGUAUGACAAAGUUUUUAAGAUCAUUGAUAAAAGAUGGUUAGAUCAACUUCAUCGACCUUUGCAUGCAGCAGGACAUAUUCUGAACCUGGAGUUAUAUUAUAAGAAUGCAGCUGCUGAAACUUUAGAUGGAGAAGUGUGGGAUGACUACAUUUCAUGUCUUGAGAAGUUGGUCCCUGAUCCUAGAUUGAGAGAUAGAAUGUCGAUUGAGCUUGGUAAGUACAAACAAGCAGAUGGUAAGGAAUCUGCCAUUUGAGCUAGAGACCGUUUGUCACCAGUCGAAAGGUGGUUGCAAUAUGGUAACCAUGUUCCAGUCUUGCAAAAGUUUGCUGUCAAAGUACUAAGCUUAACUUGUAGCGCAUCCGGAUGUGAAAGAAAUUGGAGCGUCUAUGAACAUAUUCACUCCAAGAAGAGGAAUAGAUUGAGCUAAAAUGUCUGAAUGAUCUAGUGUACAUUUAGUACAAUAGAACAUUGAAGCGUCGUUAUAAAGCUCGCGAUACCAUUGAUUCAAUUAGGUUGGAGAAUAUUGAGGAUGUAAAUGAAUGGGUAACUGGAGCACCCGAAGACCUUGCAGAGGAAGAGUUAGAAGAUGGUGGUCUCACUUGGGGUAUUGUUGCUUCGGCAAGUGGAUGUGAGGAGAGUAUCUAUGGUCUUAGGGCGAGUUGUUCAAUGAACAAGGAUAAAAGGGUGGCUUCUUCAAGUCGAUCCCUAGUUGAUGAAGACUCUGAGGAAGAAGAAGAUGACAGCCACUAUAAUGCUAACACUCUUGUGGUUGAAGAAUUUGGAGAUCUUGAAGAAGAAUAGAUGUUUCUUCGUUAUAAUUUGGUUAAUGCUAACAAUGACCGGGACCUUAUGACUUAUUAACUAUCUAGUUGCCUAGUUAGAGACUUUUAGACUUUAUUAUCAACUAUCUUAUAUCUACUUUUAGUUUUUCAAUUGAAAUAUUUGCUAGUAUUUUGUUGAGUAUUUGAGUUUUUGGGUAUUUAUUUAUAUAUGCAUAUUUAAUAUUUUAAUUUUUUUGGGUUAAUUCUCGCCUCGCCUCCAAAAGGUGUUCGCCAUGCCACGCCACGCCAUGAGGCGUGAGGCGAGCCCUUGUCGCCACGCCUCGCCUUUCGCAAUCCUAAACACUGUACCAAAUUCAAGAUCAAGCUCAAAGGCCCUUGAAUUCAAGUACAAGUCAAAAUCAAAUUCAAGAUCAAGCUCAAAAGCCCUUGAAUUUAUAUUUAUAAAGAAGAAUAAGAGGAAUCAUAGAGAUUGUAACACUCAUAUUUGAAAUCAAAUAAUACGAUUGUUGCGAUAUUUUCCUGUCUUGAUUAUUAUUUUCUCGACGCGAAUUUUAUUGUCUACAAAUUUUGGCACGCCCAGUGGGACAAUCUCUACCUCCCAUCUCUUCCAUUAGAAGUUGAAGAACAUCAAAAUGACUCAAAUGAAGACCAACCCCAAAUCGGAUGCUAUUGCGACUGCUCAACCUAAAAGUGGAUUGGAAGUUUCCAUGGAGAUCAUUGGACAAAUCAAAAGGAGUAAAACCGGAAUGCGAGGACAACAAGUGCUUCAUGUUCCGUCCAAGCGAACUCAUGUUUCUGGUUCAUCUUCUCCAAAAGGAAUGAUAUCCUCAUCAUGCAUGCUAGAAGAAGGGAAUACUAUUGCUGAGGUGCUUGAAAGAACUUUGGCUCAACUAAAUCUACCGCAAGAAUGCCAUUGCAAGUCGAACAACCCCUUCCUGCAAGAAGAUGAUGAUGCCCUAAACGAUGGAUAUGCUCCAACUUCCUAUCAAGUCACUCCCCAGUUUAAGCUCUAUUCGAGUAGUGAUCAAUAUCACUCUUCAUCCUCCAUGAUGGUCGUGCAGGCAAUGAUGAUUGACGCAUCCACUAUAGAAGAACAACUUGCAAGUUUGACUAAGGCAGUUGAAGGCUUGACAAAGCACGUGCAAGAACAGGAUGAUAAGCUUUCCAAGCUGACAAAUAAGAUGGAAAGUAUGGCUGAGAGAGAAUCGAGUCAAACACCUAGAAAGCUUCCUGAAAUUCAAGAGAAAGGAGAGUUCCGUAAAGCAAACAACAACGAUCAAAGAGAUCCAAGUUUCUGCCGAAGGUUUGAUUCUUGUUGACCAAUUGAAGAACUUCAUCAUGGGGCCAUCAAAGAUAAAUCUGAGUCCUCAUCCAAAUCACCUCUCACAUAUGUAAAGCCCUAUACACGAAGGAUUGAUAACUUGAAUGCAUGAUGGCUAUCAACCUCCUAAGUUGCAACAAUUUGAUGGUAAAGGAAAUCCCAAACAAUAUAUAGCGCACUUCGUUGAGACUUGCAAUAAUGCUGGGACUUAUGAUGAUUAUCUUGUCAAGCAGUUCGUUCGAUCUCUCAAAGAAAAUGCUUUUGAUUGGUAUACUGAUCUUGAACCUAGUUUUAUAAAUAGUUAGGAGCAGCUGGAGCAAGAAUUCCUCAAUCGUUUUUAUAGCACAAGACGUAUCGUUAGUAUGAUUGAACUUACAAGAGCCUGCCAACACGAAGGUGAGCCAGUUAUUGACUUCAUCAAUCGCUGGAGGAGCUUGAGCCUCAACUCCAAAGAUCGCCUUAGUGAAACUUCUAGCAUUGAAAUGUGCAUUCAAGGCAUGAAUUGGGGUCUUCGCUACAUCUUGCAAGGAAUAAAGCCCAAUACAUUUGAAGAGUUGGCGACGUGCGCACAUGAUAUGGAAUUAAGCAUGGCUACAAGUGGAGAUCAAUGGUUGCCAGUCUUUGAACCUCGCAAAGAUGAAGAUAUAGAACAACUCCAUAAUGGGGGCAAGUAUGAAUGUGAAGAUGAAACUGAAGAGUCUUUGUAUGUUACCAUGCUCCUCAUCGCACGAGCCUAAACUACAAGUUAAAAUGCUCCUCAUCGCACGAGCCUAAACUGCAAGUUGCAAUGCUCCUCAUCGCAUGGGCCUAAACUGCAAGGUACGAUGCUCCUUGAUGCACGAGCUGAAACUGCAUGUCACGAAGCUCUUCAAAUUUCGAGGAAAAUCUUGAAAUCGCGAAGCUCCUCAAUUCAAGUUAAAUCUUCAAGCCACGAAUCUCAUCAAAUUAGGAGCCAAAUUUUCAAAUCACGAAGCUCAUCAAAUUCGAGCUAAUCUUGAAAUUGCGAAGCUCCUUAAAUUUGAGCUAAAUCUUCAAAUUGCAAAGCUCUUCAAGUCGAGUUAUCUUCAAGUUAAAACGCUCCUUGACGUACGAGUAUAAACUUCAUGUUACUCCUAGCCCGCAAGGGUAUAAACUGUGCACGGCCCAAAAAACAAAUAUCCGCUAGGUUGAAAAUCUCGUAAGAGGCGGUCUUCACCGAUGUACGUAGGCGCUUAGAGUUUUAUUCUAAGUUCAGUCUCAUGAGUUUAAAAAUAUAUGUCACUCCAAGUGUUGUUAUGAUGGAAUGAAAUCCGCGACCAGACACAUACAGAUCAUAUAUACAAGCAUCUUUUUGUUGAAAUUGGGACCUUCACUAAACACUGACGGUUCAAUGGGGGCAAAUAUCCAUGGCAAAUGGGUUUCUCCAACGGGAUUACUGUAAUCUCUUAGCAAGUGGUCAAAUAAGCAAGUUGAAGUCUGCAAAUUCGCCGGUUUUCAAGUUGAAGGCCUCAAAUCCACCAGGUCUUCAAGUUGAAGUCCAAAGCUACUGCAUCUGCAAGUUGAAGUCUUCAAAUCUGUCAGGCUUCAAGUUGAAGUUUUAAAUCCACUAUGUCUGCAAGUUGAAGUCUUCAAAUCUGUCAUGCUUCAAGUUGAGUUUUAAAUCCACAAUGUUUGUAAGUUGAAGUCUUCAAAUCUGUCAGUCUUCAAGUUGAAGUUUUAAAUCUAUCAUGUCUGCAAGUUGAAGUCUUAAAAUAUAACAAGUCUUCAAGUUGAAGUUUCAAAUCCACCAUGUCUGCAAGUUGAAGUCUUAAAAUACAACAAGUUUUCAAGUUGAAGUUUCAAAUCCACCAUCUCUGCAAGUUGAAGUCUUAAAAAUCUAGCGAGUCUUCAAGUUGAAGUUUCAAAACCACCAUGUUUACAAGUUGAAGUCUUCAAAUCCGUCGAGUCUUCAAGUUGGAAUCUCAAAUCCACCACAUGGCAAGUUGAAGCCUUCAAAGAUUGCCAAGUAUAGUCUUCAAGCUGAGGAUCUCUAAAUUUCCAUGCCUUAAGAUAUGGAUAUUUAGCAUCGUGGAUUUAUCCUUUGAUGUUCCGUCGAUAUAGAAAUUUGGCGUCGUGAAUUUGUCCUUUGAUGUCCUAUCGAUAUGAAAAUUUGGCGCCAUGAAUUUAUCCUUUGUUAUUCCGUUGAUAAGGGUACUCCGUCGAUAAACGCAUUCCGUCAAUAUGAGAGUUCCAGCGAUAUGAACAUUCCAUCAUAAGGGCAUUCCAUCGAUAAGGGCAUUCCGUCAAUAAUGACAUUUCGCCAGUAAAGGCAAGCCGUCGAUAUGGACAUUCUGUCGAUAAGGGCACCUCGUCAAAGUGGGCAUUCCGUCGAUAAGGACAUUCCGUUUAUAAAGGGAUUCCAUCGAUGAUGGAUAUUACAUGGAUAUGAACAUUCCAUCGUUGUGGUUAAAGAACCGAUCCUUUUGAUCUAUAUAAAAAAAAAGACGAAAUAAUAUAACAAGAAAACGCAAAGCAGAGAAAAAAAAUAUUACCUUGCACUUUGCAAGUCGGGCUCCAAGUGUUUUCUUGAAGAGUUUACAAACCAGUGCUAUAAGAAUGAAAAAAUUAUGCAGCUAUUUAUAGAUGCUAAGAGGCGGCGGAUGUUCCAUCUCCCAGGUGGAUUGCACUUCCUUUCCUACUAUGAGUCUAAGCGGAAUAAUACUUGACUUUAUCCACCUCUUUCUCUAAUCUAAUUGGUCACUGCUAGCCAUAAGUUUUCGGUGUUGCUAAAGGCUUGGCAACGUGAAUCUUCCAAGAUAGACAAAAUAAUUGGACAUUAGCUCAUACCUAUUGAUAGCUCACCUACCAGAAUCAUAUUUUAAUCCAAUUAUUUUAAGUACAUGAUGUAUCCAUGGUGCACUUUAAGUUACGUAUGGGGCAACUAUCCUUUUGUUAUACUUCAAGCCCAGUCUCUAAAUUUGACAAGUCAAUUUCGACAAGCCUUGAAGUAGGGGGCAUUUGUAGGGGUGUAAAUUUUAGUAAAUUCAAAUCCGUGAAAUAAUUUGGAUUAUAUUAAAUUCAAGAUAUAUUGGUCCAAAUAAAUGAGUGGCUAAUAUAAUUGAAUUAAUAAGUCCAACAAAUAUGGAUUUAAUUUUAAAAAGGUCCAAUUGCAUUGGGCUAGCCUAUUUUAAUUAGGCUACAAAUGAUGAGCCCACUUUGUUAAGCUCAAAAUGUCAUCUUAUCCAGGGAGGCUCAAAUUGGUGCCACGUGUCAAAUGACGUGGCAUGCCAAGUCAAAUGAAGGAGCAAAUAGGAUCAUGCCACGUGUCAAAAUGAUGCAGCAUGCCUAGUGUACAAGUGACAUAUUCCGGUCAAUCAAAUGUGGCCAUGUCACUUCAUUCUGAUUGGUCAGAAAGGGUUUGUCCUUAUCACAACUCUUCCAUCCUACAACUAUAAAUAGGGGUCUCAUAAUUCAGAGGAGGGACCAGAAUUCAGAACAAGAAGCUAGAGGGAGCUCGUGGGUCAAACGCUACAAGUUUUCUACAAGCUGCAAGCAUUCAAGCACUCCUCUACAAGUUUCAAUUACCCGAAGAUCAAGAACGAAGGCAAAUCAAAUAGCAAGGCGCUCAAGAUCAAAGUCAACGAAGGCAAAUUAAAUACCAAGGCGUUCAAGAUCAAAUUCACUUGUUCGUCUGAGAAUUAUUGUUCGUGGCGGUUAUCAAAGUGUUCGUGACGAAUCAAUUCAAGUCAAAAUCAAAUCCAUAUUCAGGAUCAAGCUUCAGGCCCUUUAAUUCAAAUACAAGUUCAAGAUCAAGACUACCAAAUUCAAGAUCAAGCUCAAAGGCCCUUGAAUUCAAGUACUAGUCAAAAUCAAAUUCAAGAUCAAGCUCAAAAGCCCUUGAAUUUAUAUGUGUAAAGAAGAAUCAGAGGAAUCAUAGAGAUUGUAACACUCAUAUUUGAAAUCAAAUAAUACGAUUGUUGCGAUAAUUUCCUGUCUUGAUUAUUAUUUUCUCGAUGCGAAUUUUAUUGUCUACAGUCAUGUCUCCUUGGUAUCUUGAAUAUCCUUUUGCUAUAGAAAGUAAAGCUAAGGGGAAUAGAAGUGACAGGGAAUGAUAUCAGAAAAGCUUGGCUUUAUGGGGACUACCAUUCUUUUAAGGUCUAUGAGCUUAAGCUGUUCGAAGCUCUAGACAGCAGCAUCCGGUCUGCUCUUCCAGUGGGCCUCUAAGUGGCAGCUUAGAGUAGCUCAUGCUGGGUAACCCCAAAUUUCUUCCCUUUUUAUCUUCCUGCAUCACGGCCAAGGUGACAUGCUUUGCCGAAACUGAGCUCACUAGGUAUUAUGUUCUCAAGCCACAUACAUGCUCGUUCAAUCUCAAAGUUUACAGAAGCCGAGUUCUUCAAUUUUAGGUCAACUGUUCUCAGAUUUCAUCUAAAUUAAGAAUUUCACGAAGUAAUGUUGUGUAGCUAGCCUAAAAUUUUUCCAAAGCCAGUGAAGUAUCUGGAUAGCUCCAAUAGCAAUAUUUCAUUCAAAAGUCAAGGGCUUAAAAUUAGAAUGUUCCUUUAGCUACACGCUCAAAUUCUAGACUUGCAUAGUCAGCCGUUGCCAAAAGAAAAGUAAAGAAAUUCAACAUCAUUAUUACCAUAUAUUAGCAUAAGGAGGAGAAGAUGAACAAAAUACCAGGUCUUAAUAAGCUCUAAAUGAAAAGUAUUUUUUAUUAUAACGGUGCUAGCAACGCUAGCUUGAUUGCACCUCGACUAUUCCACCAGGUACCUACUACCUCCCACCAGCAAGUCUUAGAAAAAUAGGAAGAAAUCACCUAGUGUUUUUUGCCUUUGCUGUGAUUUGAAGAUCUAAAUGAGGUAGGGUCAACAGUACUUAAUAGUCUUAUUUUUAAUAGAGCAGAAGUGAAUUUGGGCUGAUCAUGUGGUGAUUCUUGAUUUAAACUCAGUUUGAAACUUAGAGGCUCAUGCUCAGUUGCCUCGCAAUCACUUAAGCUUGGCCCCUGAUUCUUUCAGGCUGGCAAUUAGUUCUAGGCCGGUCAAUGUCAGUUGAGUCAUAAUCUUGAUAUGCAGUCUUACUCAAGGUGUUGCUUCUUUCAGUUUGUCGGUUGAGAUCGUUGUGAAAUGUUAGUGGGUAUAUCUGAUCAUACGUAUCUGAAGAAGUGAAAAUACUUCUUGUGAA